AAUGAACGUUGGCGGCGUGGAUUAGGCAUGCAAGUCGCGCGACAAGGAACCUUCGGGUUCUGGAGGAGCGGCAAACGGGGUAGUAAGGCAUCGGAACGUACCCUCUUGUUGGGAAUAGCCGCGGGAAACUGCGAGUAAUGCCCAAUAAUCCCUACGGGGCAAAGGUCCGCCGCAGGAGGAGCGGCCGAUGUGAUACCAGCUAGUUGGUGAGGUAAUGGCUCACCAAGGCUUAGACGUCUAGGGGGUGUGAGAGCAUGGCCCCCCACCACUGGGACGUGAGAUACUGCCCACGACACCUACGGGUGGCUGCAGUCGAGAAUCUUCGGCAAUGGGCGCAAGCCUGACCGAGCAACGCCGCGUGCGGGAGUGAAGGACCC
This 377-nucleotide ribosomal RNA is filed under the name uncultured bacterium. Its description in RNAcentral is "bacterial SSU rRNA". It matches the Rfam family "Bacterial small subunit ribosomal RNA", at positions 29 to 418 of the family's 1533-position model. The record is from RNAcentral.